This 452-nucleotide ribosomal RNA is filed under the name bacterium ND1-29. Its description in RNAcentral is "bacterial SSU rRNA". It matches the Rfam family "Bacterial small subunit ribosomal RNA", at positions 29 to 525 of the family's 1533-position model. The record is from RNAcentral.
AUUAACGCUGGCNGCAGGCCUAACNCAUGCAAGUCGAACGAGNACCUUCGGGUCUAGUGGCGGACGGGUGAGUAACGCGUGGGAACAUACCCUUUGGUACGGAAUAGCCUCGGGAAACUGGGAGUAAUACCGUAUGUGCCCUUCGGGGGAAAGAUUUAUCGCCAAAGGAUUGGCCCGCGUUGGAUUAGGUAGUUGGUGGGGUAAUGGCCUACCAAGCCGACGAUCCAUAGCUGGUUUGAGAGGAUGAUCAGCCACACUGGGACUGAGACACGGCCCAGACUCCUACGGGAGGCAGCAGUGGGGAAUCUUAGACAAUGGGCGCAAGCCUGAUCUAGCCAUGCCGCGUGAUCGAUGAAGGCCUUAGGGUUGUAAAGAUCUUUCAGAUGGGAAGAUAAUGACGGUACCAUCAGAAGAAGCCCCGGCUAACUCCGUGCCAGCAGCCGCGGGUAAUA